This is a non-coding RNA of Ictidomys tridecemlineatus (thirteen-lined ground squirrel), 4819 nucleotides long. Lineage: Eukaryota; Metazoa; Chordata; Mammalia; Rodentia; Sciuridae. The record is from RefSeq and is a predicted model, not a curated record.
UCUACGUUUUAAAUUCCAACACAUCAUUUAUCUUAUUCUUUUUGAUUUAUAUUUGGGGAUAACAGUGCAACCUUGUAUAAGAAACAGCCACUAGGAUGAUCAACAGCUAUUUGUCUGUGCUCAUUGUGGCUUCAAAAUUAGGAAUGAGUCGAAAUGGAUAAACCCAAGAUAUGCAAGUUUGGCAGCAUUUUUGUUUGUCAUUAAUUAAUCAAGGGAGGAUGGUUUUCUGCCUUGGGUCUCAGUUUGUUUUCUGACUCCUAUGCAAGACAAGAGGAGAGGUGGUGGUUACUGAGAGCUGCACACCAUCCUUGCUGUGCCUCUGCUUAACAGUUGCUGAGUGCUGAAUGGUGCCGGGCACUGGGCUCGACCCGAGAUUCACAAGUAUGUGUAACGGGUACAGUCCCUGCCUACAGAAAGUCACAGUCUAGUGGGAGAGGCAGAUAUUAAUGAGACAGUCUCCCAUCAUAAGUGUUUAAUUAUACACUGGUGUAGGUGUCAUGAAGGAAAGCAGUUGGUGUUAGCAGAACUCUGAGGGAAGCCUGACAUAGUGUGGGGGUCUUGGAAGGCUAUGUUCUGAAGGACAACCCUCACCAGGAGGAGAAACCAGGUACCAGGUGAAAGCUGGGGAGUGGUGUAGGGACCAGCAUUGACACAGGAGUACUGGGCUGCAUGAACAGCUUUAUCUUGAUUAUGGCAGCAGUCACCAUGGAAGUCACCACAGGUUAUAACUCCUAGCAAACUCCUACCUCUCAUUCAAAGACCAUUUCAAAAAUUACCUUCUUUAGGAAGUGUUCUUUGAAUCCUACAGACAGAAUUACUCCCAUGCUAGAACUUGGCUUAUACCCCUGAUGAAACAUGGGGGAGACCCUUUGUACUUUGAAUCUGAGAGGCAGUAUGUGUCUAUGGAGCCAGGCCCCCUGAGUUCAAAUCCUGAAUCAACUAUUCAUUUGACCUUGGGAAAAUUCCGUAAUCCCUCUGCAUUUCAGUUUUGCCAUUUGUAAAAUGGAACUAUCAAUAGCACCUUCCUCAUUGGUUUGAUGGGAAGAUUGGAAGUGUCAUUAUAAACACUGUGCCUGGUUCAGUGCUUUGGACGUAGUAAAACUACUAAUGUGAUCUGUACUUUUCUAAACAUGUCUGUUUCCUCAUUAGUUUUGCCCAAGUGCUCAGAGCUGGCUGGAGUCCAAUCAGGAACUCCACCCGUAUCUAUAACAUUGGGUUCAGUGCUCUUUCUGGGAAAAUCAGGCUGCCUUCAAUUACAAUGCCUCUCAAACUUUAUGUGUACUUGAAUAGCCUAGAAAUCUUGUUAAAAUGCAGGUUCUAGUUCAGUUGAUCUAGGUGAUGAUCUAUGCAGCUGGUGUGUAUAUUGAGAAGUAAGGGUCUAUCUACCAGCCUGAGUGAGCUCUCUGAUUCUACCUGAGUUCUGGGGGAGAGACAGGAGCCUGUGGAAGGAGGAGGAGACUCACUCUAUAAUGCCUGCACUGGACAUUGCAGCCUUCUCCUUGUCUGGACCAGUGUCCCAUCUGCCUUAGCUACUCAGUCAGUAUGAGAUGACUAUCAUCAGAUUAUCAGUAAUGGUCCAGUUAUUGAGGACUCUGUCAGUUAGGGUUCUCCAGCAAAAAAGGAAAAAAUGAGUGAGAUUUAUUUUAAGGGACUGUAGGGUAGACUGGCUUGCUGGAAAUUCAGAUGAGUAUUAUUAUUGAAGUCUCUAGACUGAGAUGUGUUGGGUGGUCCAGCAGGCUGGAAGCUCAGUCAGAAUUUCAUAAGCUAGAAUUUCAUAAGCUAGAAUUCCUUUGUUCCUGGGAAAUCCUUGAGUUUGCUUUGACAUUCUUCCACUGGUUAGAUGAAUCCCACCUAUGUUAGACAGGGUAAUCUGUUUUACUUAAAGUCCAUGGAUAGAUGUUGAUCCCACCUAUGUUAGACAGGGUAAUCUGUUUUACUUAAAGUCCAUGGAUAGAUGUUGAUCACAUCUGCAAAAUACCUUCCGAGCAACGUCUAUAUUAGUAUUUGUCCAAACAAUUGGGCACCAUAGCCCAGCAAGUUGACACAAAAAAUGAACCCACAUCAGCACCAAAGAGCAUGGCCUGCUUCACAGUCUCAAUCAUCCUUUUCAUUUCUACCAUAGCCAACUGUGGAGAAAUCCCUGUAAACCCACCUCCUUUGUGGGGCAGACUCUCCAUGUGCAUGGCCCUCAUCUUGGGGUUUGAAAGGUGCCAUUAAUGUUUGAGAGUUGCCAGUGACUGUGGUCUGUGCUCUGUUAUAGCCAACUUAAACCCAAUUAACCAACUCUCUUGGCUAGGUUUCUUAGUGAAAAUCAGAAGUUACCCCCUUUCAAACAAUUGCCCACCUUGGUGUGCCCAGCUCAGGGUUGAGAAUUCAGAUACUGUUUGUGUGGGGUGACACCACUGGAUUGUAAGCAACAAGCAGUUCUUUCAGGAGGUCUUGGACAGCUGCUAAGACCCCGCUGUGGUCUUGGCCACAUGUGGCCACAGAAACAGAGCUGAACCAAUAUUCUGCCGUCCUUAGGGAAACGCUUGUUGAGCCAACACCACACUGUGGGAUGGUAGCAGCAGGUACAUUCAGACCUCAUGUUUACUUCUGUUCAGCUUUCCCAAGGCAAUUUCCAGGUUGUGAUUUCAUUUUAUGUUGAUUAUAGUUUGGUGGGAUAGUUGGAGUAGAUGGUGUUAAGGUUCAUGUUUUCCUGAGUUGGUGAAAUGGUACCAUUUGGAAACUGGCAGAAUUCAAUUGGAAUUUGUAUCCAUCUCUUACUAGCUGAGUGACCCUGGACAAGUUGCUUCAACUCAGUAGUCAUAUCUGCCAUAACCACCUUAAAUGUUUGAAGCAAGGAUCAUAGAUCAUAUAGCUCAGCAUCUCUUAUCUACUAAGAUGCUUAAAAAUGACUUUUUAUCACUAUUUUAGUACACAUGCCUUGGGUCCUGCCUUCCCCAGAACCCUUCUAUGCUGACUAUACCUACCCACGACCCUUGAGGAGGUGCCAGCUGAAGUGCCUUUUGGCUUGUGCUAUGUGAUCUGCAUCACAAACACAGCUGAUUAGGGAAGUAAAGUCAUCUUGCCUAUGAUGGACUUGGACUCCUCUCCUAGGAAUUGGAACAUUAAGGGAUUGAACUCUUGAGCAGUGGGGAGCUCAGCUAAAAGGUUGUAUGGUUUUGGGAACCAGGGCAACUAUGAUAACUACUGUAUACGCCUAGGUAGUGACAGGGGAGGCCUUCUGGUGGCGAAAGAGGGAGACAGAAGCGAGAAGGCAUAAGAAGAGAUGUGUUGUAGAGUUCUUAAAAAACAGAGCCACAGUUAAUAGCUUUCCAGUUCCCAUUAGGCCAGAUGGAGUCUUUCCUGCCCUUGGAUUCCAUGGAACCUAAAUUCUUUUGAUAAGUCAAAACCUUUUCUUGGCUGGGUUCAUAGGUAGUGAAAUAAGAUCAAUGAUGUGAAGGAGCUGAUGAAGAGAUGGGGGCUCUAAUAGGCAAGCAUUUAAGCAGCCUGGAUGCCCAGCCCAAGGCUCAUGCUCUUUGCUGCCUUGUCUGAUGAGUGCAGUUAUAAUGAUUAUUUUCUCUGCUCUGGGGCUGCUGGGGAGUGGUUGGAGAAGGAAGUAUGGUAUAGGAGGCAUGAUGUGGAGGUAAUUCUCUUUGACAUUUCCUCUCUGUGACUUCCAUGCAGCUGCUCUCCCAGGAUCAUUUCAGAAUCAUGAAAGUAUCUUUGAUGUCUUCCUUCUUGGAUUGGGCACCAGUUCUCAAUGACAGCCCUAUCUUCUCUGAAGGAGAGAAGUUAUUGGAUUAUUGGGGAUGAAUCCCAGGGGAUUUGGUUUAAUAUGGUUCCCACCUAAUGAUAUCAUCUGACUCAGAAGUCAGGUUUCUCUGACCUUUUAGUGCUGGCUGUGAACCAAUAUGGUGGUAAUAAUAUGGGGCCUAAAGAUGAAGAUAAAUCUGGGGAAGACCUAGGCACUCCCCUUGAAUAUUCCAGAGUGACUUGUCUGAGCUUAAAACUCAUCAUUGGCAUCACUGGGGCUAAGGUGUUGCAGGAAACUGGAGUACUUCCUCAGACUUGGCUGUCACAAUGGGGCAGAAUGUCAAGCCUCCUGUGAUGGUUGGCUAGACCUGAGCUUUCAAACUUUGAGGACAUUGAAGGGCUAGCCAUAUCAGAAUCAAAGAGGCAUUCAGUCCCUUUCUGAUUCAGAAUGUAUAGGAUGAAGCUUUGGGUAGCUCUAAUUUUAAUAAAUACUAGGUGAUUCUAAUCAAAUCAUCAGCCAUGAUAGAAACCACCCUCAUGUAGAUGGCCUCAAUGGAGGUCAGUCUAAAAUUCUCUGAAAUAUGUUGCAUGGGAAGUUCUGUAGUUUAAGCCCCAACUUCAAAAUAGAUGCUACUAUAGGUUAAGUUAUGUCCCUCCAAAUUUGUGUUUGAGUCCUAACCCCCCAAGACCUCAGAAUAUGACCUUAUUUAGAAAUAGGACCUUGUAGGUAUAGUUAGUUAAGAUGAGCUUAUAUGGAAUAGAGUGGGCCCCUAAUUCAAAAUAACUAAGGUGUUUGCAGGUUCUUAUAACAAGGGGAAAUUUGGAUAUAAAGACAGACAUAGCUAGAGGGAAGAUGAUAUGAAGAGACAUAGGAAGAACUAUGUUGCCACAACCCAAGGAGCAUCUGGAAUCACCAGCAGCUGGAAGAGGUGUGAAGAUCAUUCAGCCAUUAAUUCACCAAGCACUUGUUGAUCACAGCCAACUGCCAUAUAUUCUGCUAAGUUUGGAGGAACAACUGGAGAUUCCUAUCUUCUGAUUUAGUUGGAGAAACAAAUAUGCAAUCAAGUGAAUGUAGAAUUCA